This 244-nucleotide long non-coding RNA is filed under the name Capsicum annuum. RNAcentral describes it as "long non-coding RNA (CANN_LNC002139)". Lineage: Eukaryota; Viridiplantae; Streptophyta; Magnoliopsida; Solanales; Solanaceae. The record is from RNAcentral.
AGACUCAGGGUGUUACAAACUUGGUAUCAGAGCCUAAGGUUCAACAGAGUCCUAGGGUGUUUAACAGUCGCAUCAAGUAGAGUCUUGUGCAUGGGCGUAUAACGCACCAAACUUAUGGACAUGAGGCUAUAAGAUGUUCUAGGAAAGUUUCCCUUCUUGCAGUGUUCAUGUCGUGCGAGUGAGCAUGAGCUCAAUUUAAACUCUUAGUAUAAUCCAUUUCUUCCUUUUGUUUAUAGAACAUGCC